Molecule: non-coding RNA, 73 nt
Organism: Aedes albopictus (Asian tiger mosquito)
Lineage: Eukaryota; Metazoa; Arthropoda; Insecta; Diptera; Culicidae
Source: Rfam
UGCUCUGUGUCUUAGUUGGCUAAAGCGCCGGACUAACAAUACGGUGUCUUAGGCUCGACUCCUACCAAAACAA